CCCUGGUAGUCCACGCCGUAAACGUUGGGCACUAGGUGUGGGGCGUUCCCGUUCGCGGGGGCUCCGCGCCGUAGCUAACGCAUUAAGUGCCCCGCCUGGGGAGUACGGCCGCAAGGCUAAAACUCAAAGGAAUUGACGGGGGCCCGCACAAGCGGCGGAGCAUGCGGAUUAAUUCGAUGCAACGCGAAGAACCUUACCAGGGCUUGACAUGGGGGCGGUGGCGUCGGAGACGGCGUCUCCCUUUUUCGGGGCGCCCCCGCAGGUGGUGCAUGGUUGUCGUCAGCUCGUGUCGUGAGAUGUUGGGUUAAGUCCCGCAACGAGCGCAACCCUUGUCCCGUGUUGCCAGCGCGUUGUGGCGGGGACUCACGGGGGACUGCCGGGGUCAACUCGGAGGAAGGUGGGGACGACGUCAAAUCAUCAUGCCCCUUAUGCCUUGGGCUUCACGCAUGCUACAAUGGCCGGUACAGAGGGUGGCGAUGCCGUGAGGCGGAGCGAAUCUCUUAAAGCCGGUCUCAGUUCGGAUCGGUGUCUGCAACUCGACACCGUGAAGUCGGAGUCGCUAGUAAUCGCAGAUCAGCAUUGCUGCGGUGAAUACGUUCUCGGGCCUUGUACACACCGCCCGUCACGUCAUGAAAGUCGGUGACGCCCGAAGCCCGUGGCCCUAUGGGGAGCGGUCGAAGGCGGGGCCGGUGAUUGGGAGGAAGUCGUAACAAGGUAGCCG
Molecule: ribosomal RNA, 721 nt
Filed under: uncultured bacterium
Lineage: Bacteria
Description: bacterial SSU rRNA
Rfam family: Bacterial small subunit ribosomal RNA
Source: RNAcentral